UUCAUCCUCCAAACCCUAGCCUCCUCGGAUCUCUCCCAUUUAGGAUAUUUUCUCAAAACCCUCGUCGUCCUACUUUCUAUUUUUCUCCUGAUUUGUUUCUCUUGUAGACUCUAUCUAGCUCCACUUUCCAGUUUUCGUCUGCCAAGUAUGGGGGAAGCCAAGGAUAAUGAUGUUUACGAGAAGGAGCUCCUGGACUACGAAGAGGAGGAAGAGAAAGCUCCGGAUUCGGUCGCUGCCAAGGUUUCUGG
Zingiber officinale is the source of this 248-nucleotide long non-coding RNA. RefSeq lists it as uncharacterized. The transcript is spliced from 2 exons. The record is from RefSeq and is a predicted model, not a curated record. Lineage: Eukaryota; Viridiplantae; Streptophyta; Magnoliopsida; Zingiberales; Zingiberaceae.